Molecule: long non-coding RNA, 499 nt
Organism: Pleuronectes platessa (European plaice)
Lineage: Eukaryota; Metazoa; Chordata; Actinopteri; Pleuronectiformes; Pleuronectidae
Exons: 4
Source: RefSeq, a predicted model, not a curated record
AUGGGGGGUGUGCGCCGACUGUAUGUGUUGCAUCACUUCGUCAUUGGUGUAAUUUUGUUCGGAGAAACCUCACAAAUCUCAAGGCAAAGUUUAAAGACCGUGGACUUUGAUCAGUACGAUGGUGUGAUUGGAUUUGUUAAUGUAAACAACAACCACUGGAAGUUUGUGUACCUUCAUGCUCCAACAAGCCAAAUAUUCAUCAUUGAUCCUGCUGACCCUGAGAUUGAUCUGGAAGAGACCAGGAAAGCAGCAAAACGCUUCCGCAAAUACUUAAGGACAAGGUUUAAUCUAAACGGACAAAAGGAUUGGUUGACCUUGGCAUGGAAACCUGCCACCAUUUCCCACACAACACAGAGAGAUGGAACUAGCUGUGGAGUCUUUGUCAUGGAGGUGAAGUAAACCAUCUCAAACCACCACCUUUUGUUUUAUCCCCAUGAACCUUCAUGUGUCAGAUUCUUCCAUUUCAAUAAUCAUGACUGUCUUUAAAGGCUGUUAAUAU